UGGGGGAUAUUGCGCAAUGGGGGAAACCCUGACGCAGCAACGCCGCGUGAAGGAUGAAGGUCUUCGGAUUGUAAACUUCUUUUAUUAAGGACGAAGAAUGACGGUACUUAAUGAAUAAGCUCCGGCUAACUACGUGCCAGCAGCCGCGGUAAUACGUAGGGAGCAAGCGUUGUCCGGAUUUACUGGGUGUAAAGGGUGCGUAGGCGGCAAAGCAAGUCAGAUGUGAAAUGUAUGGGCUCAACCCAUGAACUGCAUUUGAAACUGCAUUGCUUGAGUGAAGUAGAGGCAGGCGGAAUUCCCUGUGUAGCGUGAAAUGCGUAGA
Molecule: ribosomal RNA, 322 nt
Filed under: uncultured Ruminococcus sp.
Lineage: Bacteria; Bacillati; Bacillota; Clostridia; Eubacteriales; Oscillospiraceae
Description: bacterial SSU rRNA
Rfam family: Bacterial small subunit ribosomal RNA
Source: RNAcentral